Molecule: long non-coding RNA, 429 nt
Organism: Panicum virgatum (switchgrass)
Lineage: Eukaryota; Viridiplantae; Streptophyta; Magnoliopsida; Poales; Poaceae
Exons: 3
Source: RefSeq, a predicted model, not a curated record
UUUGAAUUACCAUAAAAGGUUUUAGAUGACUAACACAACUUAUGUUUGUUUUUAUGGACUCAUAUGUAUGCACUGUAGAUUAGCUUACAUUGUAAAGCGCCACUAUCUUCAAUUUCAGGUUUAUGAAGGUGUUGUCUACAUGCAUCAGGUGUCAAUUACCGUGUUGAGGACUUUGACUUGUCAAUUAUCAUCAAGGACAGCCUAGGCCAGUGCCCAUGCGAGCCAGAUCAGAGAGGAUGAGAAUUGAUUUUCUGAGUGGUUAGCGAGCCAUUAGCAUCACUCAUGGCACCUCUCAUGCAUAGAUGCUCUUGAUGCUUCUCUCUGUUAUUUUGAUAUGUCUACGCUCUCCUGGCUGCCGCUGCGCUCACGAGGCUCGAGCCCGGGCGGGAGCAAGCUUGGACCCGUCGCCGUCUUCUUCGACUUGUCCCC